RNAcentral lists this ribosomal RNA (524 nucleotides) under Megaphragma antecessor. RNAcentral describes it as "partial large subunit ribosomal RNA". Lineage: Eukaryota; Metazoa; Arthropoda; Insecta; Hymenoptera; Trichogrammatidae. The record is from RNAcentral.
AAACCGUUCAGGGGUAAACCUGAGAAACCCAAAAGAUCGAAUGGGGAGGUUCAGCGUCAGCUGUUUUGUUGGCUCACGUGCGGCUCGCGAUGCUCCGCGGCCCCGGCUUUGCGGUCGGGUAGUCGCGGGGCACGCGGUCGCUGCGUCGUGUCCGGCUCAGUCGGCGUGCACUUCUCCCCUAGUAGGACGUCGCGACCCGUUGGGUGUCGGUCUACGGCCCGUGCGAUGUAGCCUGUCGAGCCUGCUGCCGUCGUUUCGGCGACGGUACGCGGUUCGGCAGACUCGCCGGUUUCGCCCGACCGACUGCUCGGCGGUAACGAAUUGUCUUUGUUGAUUACGGUAAAGAGCCGCACUUUGGUGCGUUUUGGCGCGUCGGCAGGCUGGCCUCGCUCGGCAAUUACGGACCUGGUGCCGUUGUCGAGCGCUUUUAACGGCCGGUUACAGUCGACGACGUCCUCGAACGGGCUCUAAAAAUUAUCGGUUUCGACCGGUAUUACCAGUCGGCGACGCUACUGCUUUGGGUA